UACUAUCUAUUAAUCUUAACAAUCUAAACCCUGAAAACACUAGAAGUAAAGCUCAUAGCUACCUCUAAAAAUAAAUAAAUAAAAUGAAUCUACAUUGAAAAACAUAGAGGUCUUACAUGGAGAAGUGUCUUGGCGUCAUGUUUCUUGUACCGUGCUCUGUGGAUACUGUUUUUGUGAUAUACAGGUUCUGGCCUGCCGGAUUUUCUUUCUUUUGUUUUUUUUCCCCCUGCCUACGAGACAUAUGUAUGUGGGAUACAGUCUUCUGGCCCGAAUCCAUCUCUAAAUUUUCUUACUGCCAAAACCUACCCAUUCCGUACAUAUUCCCUUAACUUAACAGAGAUGCCAUAACGCAAUAAUAGCAAAUGAUUUUGGAGGAAAGAUAAAAACAAACUAGCUGUUACAAAAUGGGUAAUAACAUAAUGUUUAUUGCAAAGAAAGCUUAACCUAAAUGACUAUUUUAAAUGAUUAUUUAUA
This 474-nucleotide long non-coding RNA is filed under the name Ricinus communis (castor bean). RNAcentral describes it as "long non-coding RNA (RCOM_LNC001392)". The record is from RNAcentral. Lineage: Eukaryota; Viridiplantae; Streptophyta; Magnoliopsida; Malpighiales; Euphorbiaceae.